AAUUCAUUUUCUCACACUGUGCACACUACACUUUUUUACACCAUUUUUAACACUUAAAGUCUAAGAAUGUAAACUGUCUCUUAAUUGAGCAUAAAAUUGAAACAAAACUUUCAGCAACGGAUCUCUUGGCUCUCCCAUCGAUGAAGAACGCAGCGAAAUGCGAUACGUAAUGUGAAUUGCAGAAUUCAGUGAAUCAUCGAAUCUUUGAACGCACCUUGCACUCUUUGGUAUUCCGAAGAGUAUGUCUGUUUGAGUGUCAUGAAACUCUCAACCCCCUUGUUUUGUAAUGAAACGAGUGUGGGCUUGGAUUGUGGCGGCUGCCGGCGUAACGGUCGACUCUGCUGAAAUACACGAGCUACCCAUUUCUGAGAAAUAGACGGUUUGACUCGGCGUAAUAAUAUAUUUCGCUGAGGACGUCACAUUCUCUAACUAGUGGUGCUUCUAAUGCGACAUCGAAAUCUUUAAGAUUUAGACCUCAAAUCAGUCAGGACUACCCGCUGAACUUAAGCAUAUCAAUAAGCGGAGGAAAAGAAACUAACAAGGAUUCCCCUAGUAACGGCGAGUGAAGUGGGAAAAGCUCAACUUUGAAAUCUGGCAGCUUCGCUGUCCGAGUUGUAGUCUCGAGAAGUGUUUUCCGCGCUGGAUCAUGUAUGAGUCUGUUGGA
This 664-nucleotide ribosomal RNA is filed under the name uncultured fungus. RNAcentral describes it as "eukaryotic LSU rRNA". The stretch from base 106 to 259 matches the Rfam family "5.8S ribosomal RNA". Lineage: Eukaryota; Fungi. The record is from RNAcentral.